AUGACUUAUGUCACAUCGGUUAGAUAUUCUGUGAGAUUCAAUGGAACCCUCUUGGAUUCAUUUGCAUCGUCUUGUGGCCUUGGGCAAGGUGAUCCACUCUCCCCUUUUUUUAUAUUCAUUAUUGACGGUCUUUCUGCAAUUCUAAGACGGAAUGUAGAAAUGGGAUUGAUUACUCCAAUAAAAAAUUCUCAGUGUGCACGCGGUAUUUCACAUCUUCUGUUUGCGGAUGACAUGCUUUUGUUCUUUGAGGUGUCACGGCCGCAAGAUGAACAAGUUAAAUCCCGCCUUGAUCUCUAUGCAAAUGCCACUGGUCAACUACUAAAUUAA
RNAcentral lists this ribosomal RNA (327 nucleotides) under Triticum aestivum (bread wheat). RNAcentral describes it as "partial small subunit ribosomal RNA". Lineage: Eukaryota; Viridiplantae; Streptophyta; Magnoliopsida; Poales; Poaceae. The record is from RNAcentral.